This 430-nucleotide ribosomal RNA is filed under the name uncultured Syntrophobacter sp. RNAcentral describes it as "bacterial SSU rRNA". It matches the Rfam family "Bacterial small subunit ribosomal RNA", at positions 355 to 776 of the family's 1533-position model. Lineage: Bacteria; Pseudomonadati; Thermodesulfobacteriota; Syntrophobacteria; Syntrophobacterales; Syntrophobacteraceae. The record is from RNAcentral.
UGAGGAAUUUUGCGCAAUGGCCGCAAGGCUGACGCAGCAACGCCGCGUGGGUGAAGAAGGCCUUCGGGUCGUAAAGCCCUGUCAGGUGGGAAGAAAAGCUUGGAUUCGAAUAGGGUUUGAGUUUGACGGUACCACCAGAGGAAGCACCGGCUAACUCCGUGCCAGCAGCCGCGGUAAUACGGAGGGUGCGAGCGUUAUUCGGAAUUACUGGGCGUAAAGCGCGUGCAGGCGGGAAGACAAGUCUGAUGUGAAAGCCCUGGGCUUAACCUGGGAAGUGCAUUGGAAACUGUUUUUCUUGAGUACUGGAGAGGAAGGGAGAAUUCCCGGUGUAGAGGUGAAAUUCGUAGAGAUCGGGAGGAACACCAGUGGCGAAGGCGCCCUUCUGGACGGUAACUGACGCUGAGACGCGAAAGCGUGGGGAGCAAACAGG